GGAUGUGAGGGCAAUCUGGCUACAUCUGUCACCCCAUUGAUUGCCAGGGUUGAUUUGGUUGAUCUGGCUGGUUAGGCAGGUAUCCCCUUCCUCCCUCACCGCUCUAUGUGCGUCCCUCCCAAAGCUGUGUGUUCAAAGAGAGUGACCAUCUCUGAGAGAAGAAAUGUUCUUUGGUCAAGGGUAUACAAGUAGCUGCACUCCCCUGCUGGAACCUCCAAACAAGCUCACAAGUGGUCCUAUCUAGAGUCCUUGUUGACUAACACAGGAGUGAGUAACAAUAAGGGAAGUCCUAGCUAGAGUAAGCCUUGUUU
This 311-nucleotide small nuclear RNA is filed under the name Carlito syrichta (Philippine tarsier). RNAcentral describes it as "7SK RNA (ENSTSYG00000023374.2)". It matches the Rfam family "7SK RNA". From Rfam's summary of the family: 7SK was discovered as an abundant small nuclear RNA in the mid-70s but a possible function has only recently been suggested. Two independent studies have found that 7SK RNA binds the CDK9/cyclin T complex (known as elongation factor P-TEFb). Lineage: Eukaryota; Metazoa; Chordata; Mammalia; Primates; Tarsiidae. The record is from Rfam by way of RNAcentral.